This 274-nucleotide ribosomal RNA is filed under the name uncultured bacterium. RNAcentral describes it as "partial 16S ribosomal RNA". It matches the Rfam family "Bacterial small subunit ribosomal RNA", at positions 523 to 796 of the family's 1533-position model. The record is from RNAcentral.
AUACGGAGGGUGCAAGCGUUACUCGGAAUCACUGGGCGUAAAGCGCGCGCAGGCGGUCUUUUAAGUUGGAUGUGAAAGCCUACGGCUCAACCGUAGAACUGCAUCCAAAACUAUUAGACUAGAGUAUGGGAGAGGAAGAUGGAAUUAGUUGUGUAGGGGUAAAAUCCGUAGAGAUAACUAGGAAUGCCAAAAGCGAAGGCAAUCUUCUGGAACACUACUGACGCUGAGGCGCGAAAGCGUGGGGAGCAAACAGGAUUAGAUACCCUAGUAGUCC